AAAAAAAAAAACAAAAAAACAACAAGGAAGUAGGGAGACCAGUCUCCACGUAUAUCCAUGGAGGGCAGGGGAUUGUUGAAAGUAGGUGAAAACGUGAGUUCAUGUCUAGUAUAUGAUAAUGUUUUGUGAGAUAAGUGCAAUAGACCUUCUACAUGACUGCUGUGUUUGAUGUUCAGCACGCAUUUGAAAAACUCUGUGGACUUUGUUUUUAUCAAAGUCAGUAGCAUAGUGAGUUCAGCUAGAUAAUGGGCAAACUUACCAACAAAGCAUGACUGCAUUGUUGUAUAUUAAAGUCAUAAUCAGAAACAAAUGUUUGAAAACAACAUAAAAAUAAAUAUUAUCAUUAAUUUGGCAGUCUCAUUGUGGGAGGCAACAUAAAUACCUAGAAAUUUGGAGCAAUUAAGUCAUUGUGGCCUUAAUUAGCGUUUUUAAAUGGAUGAACAAAUUUAAAUAAACUUCAAAUUCCCCUUCCUCUUUUAUUCUUACCAGAAACAAUCAAUAUUGUCCAUUAUGCCAAGAAGAUACGAGGCUAGUUUGCUCUGUUAGACUUGUAAUGAAUUGUAUCUGUAUCUAUGGGACAAUAGUUUCAAAGAAAUUUCACCACAUUAUCUCAUUUGAAGUUUGCAGAAACGUGUCGAUUAUCUUUUCAUCCAUUUUAUCAAAUAUGAAAUAAAACACAGAUGAUGAUUUCUUCCAAAGUCUUGACUAUGGGACAUUAGAACAACUACUAAUUAGUAGCUACUGAGGCUCUGACUCAGUUUCCAGUGCUGGUUUAGUACCUUGCCACCAUGUUGUUAUCUAGUCCAAAGUUCCUCGAACCUCAAACUAUGAACACAGAUUAACUUAUACUCAACAUGAAUUUCCAGUCUAGCACAUGAUCCUGAAUUACAUUCUGAGCUCAAAGGAAUGUAAGAAUUGCCAUACUGACCCAUCCACCCCACUAUUGUCUUGCUGAGACACUUUCCUGGGAAGAAAGCAAUCUGAAGUAAUCUUUAAACUUCAGGUAUAUUUCAGCUUUAGUAUAAAUUUAGGGCUUUUCCUCUUGCACAUGUCUAUAGGAGAAAGACGACAACAUUUUGCUUAAUCCUGCAAUUCCUUAUUCUAAUAGUUUGGUGGUGGUUACUUUCAAAAGAGUUUGAGUAAUUAAUAGAAUUGUCUAAACUUUUGCUACUCAGGGAGGAUCUGUGGAGCAGCAGCAUUGGAAUUACCUGAGACCUUAUGAGAAAUGCAGACUACCGGGCUCCACUUCAUUCUUAGUGAGUCACAAGACUCACUAAGAUCUUAACAAGAUCCUCAGAUAACUGAUUAUCUUGUUCUGGUGAUUUUAAUAUUGACUCGAUGGUGCUGUUUUUCUGCUUAAAUCUUCAUUAAAUAAAAAUCUUUUGGCUUUCUUCUGAGACACUGGAAGCUAGGAUAUGUAAGUACAAUUUGACUGUAGAGAAGCCACUGCACAUUUGAACCUCCUUGACGGAUUGUCUAACGAGGCCCGAGGGUGGGAUUUCGUUUGUGAUUAAUUCCUCCCUCAAAUAUAUUUCCCCCUAAAGCUGUGAGUGCAGGUUAAGUACUGCAUGCCUGCUUCACAAAUGUUUGUGUUCCACCAUAAGCAGCUUUUGUUGAAAGUAGUUCUUUGUAGUUUUUAAUCAAAUCAUCAGAAAUACAAUUUGAAUUGGAUAGCAACAUGCUUCAGAACUGUGCUGGUUGCUUCUCAGGAAUUAAGAAUGUAGAAUUAAGGCACUGUAGAAAGACAGAUGGGAAAAGAGAUUUAAACAAAUCCACAAGUGAUAGAAGACAAUUGUUCACUUUAGAGAUACCAUCUAUCACAUAAAUGACUUUGGGGGCAUUUUUGACAUUUACUAAAGUGCCAAAUAUGGAAACAGAAUGAGACAUGUGAAUGACAGAGAAAUAAAUCAAAAAAGCAAUUUAAAAAAAGUCAGUAAUUCUGACAUUUUCAGGUAAUAGGAUUUACAAUUGAUUAAUCAUUACAUAUGAUCUCAUUUUUGGGUCAACUUCCAGGUGCAAAGUAGUUUAGAAAUUUGACUACUCUUAAGUCAUUUCAGAGAAAUACUCACUUUCAUAACUACACUGAUGAAAACAAUUUAAUGUAUUAUAUAAAUAUCCUAGAUUUUCUUGAAUCUAGAUUUUAAAAUUAUAUAACAGGAUUCCUAAAUAUUCAGAAAUUAGAAAGGACAGAUAGAUAUACUCCUGGUGUGCCACAGUGUGCCAGGAGAUUAAUGUAUUGAGAGCUCACAUUUCACUUGAAUUAGACUUCAGAAUUAUGUUGUCUACUUAAUUAAAAUAUAUUACUGACAAAUUAUGAUUUAACUCUCAAAUGCAAACCUAUCUCUAAGGUCUGGGUCAUUUUUCAAGGUCUUAUGAAGAAAUAUGUUGAUUGGGCACUGAAGGGUUAAUUUUAGACCAGGGUCAGUUAGAGGCCACACCAUCAGAAACACCACCAGAUAUUUAAGGUUGCUUCAGCUGUAGUCUUCACCAGGACACCGUCCUAGCCCGAGAGCCUGGACGUUGGUGCCUGGAGCCGGGACUGGCCAGCAGACCAGACCUCCCAGCCUCCUGUACUUCCUUCUAUUAUCUUAGUCCCCUUUGUCCCAGCUCUGACUGUGUGUGUUCAAAGCCCCAUUCUGUUGGUCUGAUCCCCUAGCCCAAAGACUCCCUUCUCUUCACUCUAUUUCCAAAUCCGAUAACCCAGCUUUAGAGGCUCAGUAGAAAAAAACAAAGCCCUGGUGCCAAUGUUACUAACUGCUCUCCUUCUAACCCCUUCUCAUCCUACCCCUUCAUUAUGUGUGGUUUUAUGGCUCAGAGAAUAUGGAAUCAAAAUCAUACACUCCUUCCAGAAAUGUCAAUUAUUGAACUGAGUCUAGGGAGCAUCUGGGGAGUUUUUAUUUUAUUCUUGAGCUUCUAGUGAUUAGUUGAGCCAAGCUGGCUAAAAAGGGAGAAAAACAUAUUAAUAGAAUGGCAAAUGGAAGAGUCGUGAUUCAGGCAGUCUUGCCUUUCAAAAAGACACUGAUUUCUAACAUUAUCCCUUUUUUUUUUUUGAGAUGGAGUUUCAUUCUUUUUGCCCAGGCUGGAGUGCAGUGGCGCAAUCUCGGCUCACUGCAAUCUCCGUCUCCUGGGUUCAAGUGAUUCUCCUGCCUCAGCCUCCCGGGUACUUGGGAUUACAGGCACUUGCACCAUGCCCAGCUAAUUUUGAAUUUUAGCAGAGACAGGGUUUCACCAUGUUGGCCAGGCUGGUCUUGAACUCCUGACCUCAGGUGAUCCGCCCUCCUCGGCCUCCCAAAGUGCUGGGAUUACAGGCGUGAGCCACUGUGCCUAGCCCUAACAUUAUACUUUUAAAAACUGUUAACCAAUGUCCAAAAUGUUUAUUCUUACCCAUGUGAAAAGCAGUGAUUUGUCUAAAUAUUCACAUUAUAAUUGUACUUCAUUAUUAGCACUGAGCACUUUGUAUAUUGUGCUUCUGGGAAUGCACAGACAGCAUUGCUAGAACCAAACUGAAAGCUAAAAGGGCAACAAGUAAUUUACAAACAAGAAUUUAGGAUUUCCUCAGUUUGGUAAUGCUUUAAAAAAAAAAAAACAACUUACUGACUUGAACCUCAUCCAAGCUUCAUAGGCUGCCACAAGACCCCCUCUUCCCCUUUGCUCAGCUCUUCAAUGCUACAUCAACUUCUGGACAGCCCUACUGGACAGCAAGCACAAAUGACUGCUCAAAUUUGGAGUGUUGAAUGAUUUGAAAAUAAUGUUCCCGCAAUUUGGAACCUGUAGACUAAGUUGUUUCAGAGGAAAUAAUAAAACCCUCUUCAGGCGCUUUUAAUAAGUGUUUAACUAUCUGCCAUUCUAGUUAUCAGUCAGCUCUUAAAAGCAAUUUCACAGGGUCCACAGAAAAUAGACAACCCCAAAAUGAAGAGUACUGAUACUUUAAUGUAAAUACAAGAUCAGACCUAGUGUUGCAGCUUUGGGAUAAAUUCUUCCCUGGUGAACAGAUCCAAGUUCUAACCAAUUAAGAAUAUUCCUCUUCUUUGAAUAAUUAAGUAUCCAUUUGAAAGAAGAGAUAAUCAUAAAAUGAUUAUAACAGAAAGUAUUAUUUUUUUCUUUUCUUUUUUUAUACAUGGUUUCACUCUAUCACCCUGGCUGGAGUGCAGUGUCACAAUCAUGGCUCACUGCAGCCUUGAACUUCUGGGCUCAAGUGAUCCUCUUGCCUUGGUUUCUGACAGUGUGGGUAUUACAGGCAUGAGCCACCACACUCAGCCCUAUUUUUUCUUUUUUAACAGACAUUAUAGGACAACAUCUUUCAUUGUGACAUUUAAAAGACAACAUUCUCUUCAUACUUUAAUGUGGUUACAGUUAGUUUUUUUCUGGUUUCUGUUUUUGCUUUAAAUUUGCCCUAAUGUCCUUCAGGAAAUACUGACUUGUACAUUUUAGGAAACAUAAUUUUUCUUAGUGACCUUUUGGUAAGUGGCUGACUUCAAGUUCAGUCAUCCACAACAUGACCCUAUGAUAUUAUGAAAGCCAUGAAACAUAAACUAAAUAAUGUGACACUAUGUUCAAGACAUUAGUUGUUACUGCCAACUAUUUCUUUUUUUAAUUUUACACUUAUUCCACAAAUACUUAUUGAAUACCCAUUAUGUGUUGGAUAUAAUGUGUUGGUGCUUAGGGAUAAACAAUCAAUAAGAAUAAAUUCCUCCUCUCAAUGAGUUUGUAUAUGGAAGCACAUAACAAAGUAUAGUUUUGAAUUUUGAGUUGUUUCAUUCCCAUCAUACUUGGAGAUUUUUGAGGAGGAUGAACAAUGCUACACUGUUAGAAAUGUGCAUGGUCAAAAAACAAGUAUUAAAGAUAAGAAAUAAAUACUUUUGGUAACUUCUGACACAAAGAUUAAUUUAUAUAUUGGCACCUGAGCUUUCUCCACUCUAAAACUUGCUAAAAAAAAAAAAAGAAAAAAACAGCUUAAUUACAUAAAAACUUACAUGAAGAAGUAAGCGGAGUUUCUACAAACAGUAAGACCAUCUGGUAAUUUAUUUUAUGUACAUGACACAAGCACACAGGUAUGAAUGAAGCUCUCUGGUAAAAUUGUUGCUCUCUUAAUGCUCAAGGAAUUUUUAAGAAUUAAUAUAAGAAUAGAGUGGUGGUAUUUUGAAUUCCCUAUAAGAUAUAUACUUUUGCUAUAAGGCAGGCUUUCACAUUUCUUUUAUUAACUGUCAUUUUCUUGCCUAUGUUUUGCUGAUACACAUCAUGAAAGGAAAAAGAGGAAAAAGAGGACUUGGGACUAAAAUGGGACCCUCUCAUGCAAAUCUAUGCUUUCUCUUAGACUGGAACUAUUUGCUGAUCAGAAAUGGCAAAACAGGUUUGUUUGAGAACUGUUAGUUCAAACACAGUACCAGAUUGUAUUCAUUUUCUAUUGCUGCUAUGAAAAUUUACCACAAACUUUGUGGCUUGAAAUAACAUAAAUUUUUUAUCUUAAUUUGUAGAUUAGAGUUCAACAUGGGUCUCACAGGUUAUAAUAAAUGUUGGCAGAGCUAAGUUUCUUUCUAGAGGUGCUAGAAGAUAAUCCAUUUUCUUUCAUUUUCCAAUUAUGGAAGCCAUCUGCAUUUCUCAGUUUGUGUCUUCUUUCUUCCAUCUUCAAAGCCAGCAAUGGUGGAUUGAAUCCUUCUCAUAUCACAUCACUCUGACCUCCUUUGUCUUCCUCUUCCACUUUUAAGAACUUGUGAUUACACUGAGCCCACCCAGAUGAUCCAGGAUAAUCUCCCUAUGUGCUGUUUAGCAAUCUUAAUUCCAUUGCAACCUUAAUUCCCCUUUGCCAUAUAAGGUAACACAUUCACAAGUUCUAGGGAAAGGACAAGGACAUCAUUUGGGGAGGGGCAUUAUUCUGCCUACCACAUGAAUAUUUUAAUCGGUUUCUGAAAAAGGAUCCCAAGCAUUUCUGACUUGUGUCUUCAUGGCCAUGCCCUCCUGUGAGCACUGAAAGAGGAGACCAGUGAAGUUCAUAUAUAAGUUCACAAGGAGAUACUUAAGGUACACUCUGUUACAACAAGCUCUUUCUCAUAGCUGUCAGUAUUGGAAGAAUAACCAACAUUCUUCAAAACGAAGUGAAACUAUCCUUCAGAAUUGAGCAGAAGGAGAGAGAAGACCAUUUGAUAAAAUGUGGACAUGUGAAACUUUCACGUAUGAAUUAAGUUCAGAUCAAAACUCCCAAGUUAGUCAAACGAGAUUCCAAGAUACAGAGAAGGUAAAAUUAAAUAUAUAUAAACCAUUUCUACUAACUGGAGGACAAUCUUUGCAUUUUAAGUUGAUUAAAACUGUGUUAUUUUGCUGUGUGUAUAAGCUGUGAAACACAUUGCAGAGCACUGAUUUCUUCACAACUCUUGGAAAAGAUAAGAAGCAUCGCUUUUCAAUAGUUCCAAAAGUCUAAAUUGGUCUCAGAACAGGAGUCAAUCCCCUGAGGUCCCUGGGUUAACUUAUGGGAAGGACUGCAUGAUUUGUUUCUGUGAUAUAUUAAAAAAAAAAAAGUUUGUUCUUUGUCUCCAGUUCUUGGCACAAAGCCUCUAAAACUCUUGGAAUUUCCUGAGUGAUAGGAGUGCAUUUUUUUUUCAUUUGUAAGGAGCCGCUUUAAUCACACCUGAUUUUAUACUACUAAGCUGACUUUGGUGGGCUUUUAGAUAACUUCAAGAUGGGGGCUUGCAGCCAGAGGAACCCACCAUGUGAUUAGAGAAUUGGAACUUUCAGCCUACCCCACAACCCCAGGGAGCAAGAGAGGUUGGAGGUUGGGUUCAAUCACCAAUGGCCAGUAAUUCAAUCAAUCAUGUCUGUGUAAUGAAACCUCCUUAAGACCCUAAACAAUAGGGUUCACAGAGAGUGGCACACCCAGAGAGGGCAGGGGAGCUCUGUACAGCACCCCCUUCCAAUAUCUUGUUUUAUGCCUCUCUUCCAUUUGGCUGUUCCUGAGUCGUAUCCUUCAUAGUAAACCAGUAAUAGUAAAUAAAAGUGCUUUCCUGUGUUCUAUGAGUCAUUCUAGUGAAUUACCAAGGCUGAAGGCGAAUUAUGAGAACCCCCAAAUUUGUAGCCUGCUCGGCAGAAAUGUGGUAGCAUGGGCAUCCCAUUUGUGGUUGGUAUUUGAAGUAGGAGCAGUCUUAUGGGGCUGAGCCCUUAACCUGUGAGGUCUGAGCUAAGUCCAGAUAGUUUCAGAAUUGAAUUGAACUAAAUCAAAUUGUUGGACGCACAAUUGGUGUGGGAGGACUGGUGGGUGUGAGAGUAAACCUCUCAUUUGGUGUCAGAAAAUAUCCCAGAAAGAACCUGAAAGGUUACUUAGCCCAUUCUCUUUUCUAGGGAAAUGGAGAUCGUGAUCAAGUCUAUUUGAGAAUACUUCUAAUAAUUUGGUAGUUUUCUUUUCGUUCAUAAAAUUCUUACUCUUGAACUUGACUUGUUUUUUCUACUAAACUUAAGUUUGGGAAAAGACAUAAAAUAUCUUGUUUCAUUUUGUAAUCCACUCUUUUGGCUUUUCUGACCUGCACUAUUCCCUGAGGAUGAAACCAGCCACAAUAAACGAAGGACGUAUCAAUUCUAAUAGGAAUUCUCCCUUUUCAUUAAAAUUUCCUCUACUUUUCCAGAUUUGGUUUUCCUUUAAACUUAGUCCAAUUAACGGAAUGCUGAUGCUCAACUUUUCUCUUCUCCUUAAUCGUGUUUACUCACUGUUUCAGUCCUCCAAGAAGGUACAGUCAUGAAUAGCUUAACAAUGGGGAUACCUUCUGAGAUGGUAGAGCCUACUACACAUCUAGGCUAUGUGGUAUGGCCCGUUGCUCCUAGGCUGCAAAGCUGUGUAGCAUGUUACUUUACUGACUAUUGUAGGCAACUUAAUACAAUGGUCAGCAUCUGUGCAUGUAAACAUAGAAAAGGUACUGUAAAAAUAUGGUGUUAUAAUCUUAUGGGACCACCAUUGUAUAUGUGGUCCGUUGUUGACUCAAAUGUCUUUAUGCAGUGCAUAACUGCAUAUACAAUUUUCAAAUGCUGUUGGGACACAAGCUCAUCUUCAUCACACUCCAUCACACCUGACAAAGAAAUCUGUCCUGCUUCAGAUAACAUUGGAGAGCUGCUAGAAGAUAACCAGCAAUUCAGAAUUUUAGGAAGUGUCUCAUGGGGUAUAUAAUCUCUGGUAUGUAGCGAUUGGUCCGUGUCAAAUCUAUGUUUAGGAUUUUCAAGCAUUUUAUCUUUUGAAGGUAGCAGAUGCAGACAAAUUAGAAAAGUGCAAAUGGAAGAAUAAAAGAGAUUCCACACGGAAAUCAUCUACCUGUAAGUCACAAUAAUUCUCUUUUCUACUCUCUUCAAAAAACAAAAUAAAUCAGUAAUACUAGGUUUAAGUUACAGCCUACUCAGAGUGAGGAUAUUGGACGUAUUGGAAGUGGCUAUUUUCUAGAAUUUCUAGUUUCAUAGCUCCUUCUUAUUCCAUAUAUGAAUGAUCUUUUGACAUUUCCAUCUAUGAGGAAAAAUGUAUAUAUACAUACUCAGUUAUAUACUUAUAACUAUUAGAGUCACAAUGUUAUGUAUAUAUGAUUUAUUUUAUAUAAAAUUUAUAUUUGUCAAGUGGAAUUUAAUUUAUUAUGUUCAUAUUACUAUUUCCUCCCCAGGCUUUUAAAGCAUUUGAACUGUGGCAUGUGAUACAUUACGGCAUAUUAGAGAUUGGAUUGACUUGUACCUUUUAUCUUGCUCAGGCAGCAGUUGACAGCUGUGGAAACUUUAAUAUAUGUGCCCAAGGAAUCCAAUAUAAUAUCAGAGAAUGACUUAAACACAAGGGACUAUCUGGCUCAAUACGCAUCAGAUGCUAUAAUAUCUAUUCCAAAGUUCCACUUUCUAAAAUAUCUUCUCAAUGAGACAAAAUGCUCUAAUAAAAUUAAACUGUGUGAAAUAUCUAUUUGAAAUAAUAAAGUAAUAAAACAAUAAGCCUCCAAAAAGCAUAAAAAUCCCUUCUCAAAAGGAAAAUCCUAGCAAUAAACAAUUUUUUAGAGAAAAAAAUUAUAGAAACAUUGGUAACACUUGGAGAAAGCAAAGCUUUUAUUCUGUGCACUGAGGCUAAAUGAAAAUAAAUUAAUGAUGGUUUAACAAAACUAUAAGAAUAUUCUUGGGAAUAAAAAUGAAUAAAAAUUACAAUUAGAAAAAGCUUUGUAACCUCACAAAACUAUUAUGAACCAUAGGCUUAAGACUUGUUGAACAAAAAAUUUAAAAAAAAUUCUAGACUGAACUGUAAAAGGGUAAAAUAUUAAGCUAACUACUUUGUUAGACACAACAAAAUGUUAGAUAUGUAAAUUAGGAGCAAGUCUCCAAUAGACUGUAAGCUUCUUGAAGGCAGAGACCACAUCGUGGUAUUUCUGAUGUCUUACAUAGUACCUCAUUGACAGUGGAGGUACUGACUCUACCUCCUUGUUAUAGUACAAAUAGGAUGUACUGAGUUCUUACUGCGUGACAGAGACUGUGCUGAGUGAUUUUCAAGCAAUAUUCUGUUUAAACUUUAUAGCAACUCUAGAGUUUAAUACUGUUUUAUUAUCUUUACUUUCCAUGUAAGGAAACAAGAGGCAUAGAGGAAUUGAGUAACUUGCCCCAAAUGCUUAAAUAGAAGUAGCAAAGCAGAGAUUGUGAUUGGAAGACACACAAUGGGAACUAUUAUGUUACAGUGCCCUACCAAGUACUUCCUAAAUGAAGAAAUGAACAAAAAAAGAAGAGACUGUAUUCUCUUAUCAGCACCCAUUGUUCAUGAACUGAGGCAGUUUUGAAACAGUCUUAAGUAACUUGGGUUUCUGAAGUUCUACAAGGGAAUAAAAUGAAGCUCAUCCCUCAGUUACUUUAACUCAUAUAUAUUACUUUAAAUUAAAUGAUUUAGUCAUUUUAACUUAUGUGGGAUAUACUGAAGUGUGUACCUCAAUUAUUUUAACACAAAGGUUAAUUUAGGUUUUAAGGUAGUGUUGUGCCAGUAAAUGGCCUGUUUGGGAAAAAAAAAAGAGGUGCAGAUUUGUGUAAAUUUAUGUGGUGUAAAUACACUCACUGAGGCAAAGGAAAACUUCUUGGUAAAUAUCUUAAAUCUAUCACAUAAGGUUGCUCAGAUAAUCCAAGAAGAUGAUGAAUGUAAAAUUACUUAAUGAGCUCUAAAGUGCUAUUCAAAUUGAAGAUAUAACUAUUAUAGUGCACAGAGAGGGAAGAACUCUUCUCACAUUCAGUUGUUCUAUAACAUAAGAAGCUUCUCAAGUAGGGAAUGUAAUUUUGAAGUAGAGAAUGUGAAGUCCUACAUUUUGAUCAGAUGAGGAAUGCGUGCACGUUAUGUAGAAGAAGUAUUAACUUGCUGCUUGCCAUCCAAAGAACUUUUGGACUUCAGAAAAUUGCAGGCAUGGACAUGCACAUUUAUACUUAUAUUUAGCACCAGGCUCACCACAUACUUUUGAUAAAGAUUUGUGGAUAUCUUUUCAGGAGAUUUACGUGGCAUGUGUUACCAGUGGCUGGUUUAUUAAUGAAUGAUUUGUAAGGCUUGAUGUAAUCUAAAUUUUUGUUCUAAAAUUGAAACACCCAUAACUUUGCUAUUGUAGAAAUAUCGUUUUUUCAUUAAAAUAUAUAAAAUUUAUCCUCUAAAGUUAAACAUAAAGAAAUUUAUUUAGUAGACAAAUAUAAGGGGUGAAAGAAAUAGACCCCGACAUUUGUGUGUUCUUCAGUAAUACCGAUGGCAAAUUACAAUAUUUCCUCCCCUCCAAAAACAAACCCAAUGUGAAAAUGCACCACCAAGAUUUAUGAUAGAAAAAUGUGUAUUUUUGAUAGUAGCAAUUAGCUGUGAAAAUUACUUCAGAGCCCUAUUGACUAAUAUGACACAUAUUUAUAAGAACAAAAAAGAUACCAAAUUUAGAUUUAAAUUUGGAUAUUCAAUUAUAAACUAAGGACGAAUAUAAGAUUAUUCAAGGAGUGUAUGAGAGCAUGCAUAUCCAUUAAAGACAUACAUAUCCCCAAAGACUAGAUGAUGCCACAGAAUAAAGGAAAUACUAUUUAUGUUUGGAGAGGUUCAAUUCUUUCUUCUCUCAGUGUCUCAUGGAUUUCACUCUUAGGGCCAUUCUUAAAUCAUGAAUAGUUAAAAAAAAAUUAAACUGACAAAUAUCAAGCAAAUCUUGUUAGAAAAGCAAGUAUUUCCUUUGGAAUAAGGAAGACAAUUUAGAAAACCCAUUAACUUUUUCAGACCCCCUUAUAAUUUAUUUUACUUAAUGGCUAAGAAAUGUCUUUUUUAGAAUGACUUGGUCUAUAAUAAAGACAAAUGCAUUUUCAUAUUUUAUUAGUGAUAAUCUUACAAACAUAAGAACCAUUAACUUUUAUAAAAACAAAAGUUAAUUUUAUGGAAUUACUGGAAUAUUAGAUUUUUAUGUUGAAAACAAAUGAAAUAAAAUGGACUUAUUAUUUCAUUCACCAUCUUUAAAGCUAAAAUCUCUGAGGCAUAAAGUCUUACCAUUUGAUUUUAAACAUUAAACCCAGGAAUAUAAAGUAAGUUUUCUUGAUAGUUUCAUGUGAUUUAUACCUUUUUACUUUAAUUUUUUUUUCUCCUGUCAGGAAAUGGGAGAUUCAGGGCCUUUUCAAUAGAAGAAAGAAAUCACAAUAUUAAAGAUAAAUGCUUAACUGUAGCAAAGGGUACAAAAUUGUUUUUAAUGAAUUUGACCUCUUGCUUUUAUGAAGUUUGGUUUUUACGAUGUGUGGCUAAUAUGCUGGUCAUGCAGCUAAAAGCAUUAUCUUCACGUCAUUAUAUAGAAAUAUAACACUGGUAUACUUGAGUUUCCUAGUCAUGUUUCACUACUCUUAGCCAUUAUGUAUUUCUAUUGUUACUCUAAAUAAGAACUCAAAUUGACUUAUAUAAGAGAAAACAUUAAGCAAUUAAGUAAGAUUAUUGCUUUGAAAAGAAACCUUGAAAAAAAAAACCCCAAUAGUUUAGACCACCAAGGAACACUAAUAAAUUUAAGGAAAUAUGAGGUUUCCUCCAUGUGACUUCUCUUGAAGAGUUAUGCAAUAGAUUGCUGGAACUUCAAGGUCAUAUAACAAUUACGGUACUUUAAAAAUUAUUUUCUAAGUAGAGUUUGUAUUUUCAUGAUUUAUAUGUCAAUUAAACUUGCAAUUUACCAAGUAGCAGAAUCAAAUUCUUUGAAUCUUUGAUAUUUUUAUUAAGUACUAUUUUACAAAAUGAUCAAAUGCAGAAUUCUAACAACACAGAAACAUUAAAACACUACAAUAUGAACAAUCUAAACAUUCAUUUUUAAUAUGAAAAAUUAUUCUUAUUCCAAAAUAUCAUUAGCUACAAAUCAACAUUUAGCAAAUAAACAUUUGCUAUGGCUCAGAUAUCUAAAUUAAGAAAAUCUUUUUGAUAUUUGAUAUCUUAUAUCUUUGUAUUAAUUCUGAAUAAAAACUAAUAAUAUAUAUUUCUGACCAAAUGCAUCUUUAGUAUUAAAUUAUGUGACAAUUUAAAAUGUAAAAUUUUGUAAUUCCAUGUUUUCUAUAGGAAAGAAAUUAUGGUCUACUCCAUUCAGAUAGAAUAAAUGUGUGAACUAUACAUUAUACAUAUCUAAAAAAGUUUAAUCUGGAUGAAGUUCAGAUUAAAGAUAGAAAAGUGAUUAUAAAAUUAGAAUAGGAUUUAUAAAGAAAGUCUAAAGGGAGGGCUUGAAUUUCUUAAAGUCACAAAAGAAAAAACUCUGAGGAGUACAAAUAACCUUAUUUAAAUACAUGAGGAUUUAUUUUAAGGAGGACAGUGUCCAGCUGUUCACGUUUUCCAUGGGAGUUUCUCCAAUAGGAUAGAUUUCAAUGAAUAAAAGCUCUGUUCCUUAUAAUUUUUAAUAUAAUGGAAAAUUUAAAUAUCUAUGAUUAAUACAAUUUUGGAUCAAAGGACAGAAUUUGAGGGAACUUCUGAUGUUAAAAUUGCUUGAGACUGUGUUGUUAGUCAACUAAGGGAAGAGCCAAACAGUGAAAGACUAACCAGUGUUCUAGUAUGUUCAUAAUUUGACCCAGGUAGCAGUUUGAAAAAAAAAACUGAUGGAAAAUUAAGGAGUCCCAUUCCAAUUCCCAGAAUCACUAUGCAGAGAUUAGUUCCUGAUUCUAAAUUGUAGGGCAAAUGAAGUGUUUAUAGUGGUUCCACUUUCCUCACUGCCAGCACCCACUCUCUUCAACACCUAUAACGUUAUGAACAUUUAUCCUCACUCACUCCACAGCUCUUGCUCUCAGAUUCCAGCACAUCACUCAGUCAUUAAGGGGCAGAUGUGGUAUGCCAGUUGCUUCCAUGUCCUCAUGUGUCAGAUUCCUAUUCAUUCAUAGCAUGGUGUUUAAGAGUAUGGGCUCAGGGAUCCAGACUACCUUGCUUUGCAACUUGGCUCCUCUUGAUGGCUUUCUAACUUUGGGAGAGUUACCUUAGCCUCUCUGUGUCUCGGUUUUACCACUUUCAAAAUACACGCAUUUCCUACCUGGUGAGUUGUUGCAUGGAAAGAUAGAAGGAUGACCCCUGACACACUAUUGGUGCUCAAGAAAAUUUAGCCAUUGUUAAAAUAUACCACAGCCUGGGCUAUUGUAUUCUAGCUGGGGAGAGACUUUACACAAGUAACGCUAUACAUAAAUACGUAUUUCAACUUUGGAGAGGGCUAUAAAAGACAAGAAUAGGGUGUUACGGGAAAGAAUUCAGGGGGAAUCUAAUUCAGACUAGGGCGUUAGCAAAGACCUCUCUAAAGAGGGAAGACCUGUCUAAAAAUUCAGGUUGAGACUUCAAGGAUGAGAAGGAGCCAGAAAGGGAAGAAGGUUCCAGGUAAAGAAAGAACAGCAUCUCCCAGAGAGAUACUUUAUCUGUAAUGAGUAUGAUUCUUCGGGAAAAAGAGAAAUGGAAGAGAAGAGUACAGAAAUAUGUGUACCUCCUAUUCUUGCUGGUUGUGGAGAAUUUUCGGUAUCUGAGGGCACACGUAAAUACGGUGGAGAGAAUGUGGGCUCUAUUACAUGACAGUUGGGUUUGAAUCUUCGCUUAUGUGACUUCCAGGCUGUUUGACUUGGGGGAAAUAAUUUAACACCCCUGAGCUUCAGCUUUUUUUUUAUUGUAAAGGCAUGAUAACUUCUACUUCACAAGGUAUUUUCUUAAAAAAUGAAAAAUACAUUAAAUAAAAAUUUAAAGUUACUAGUACCCAGAUGGCACAUAUUUAUUAGUUGUUCACUAAUCAGCUCUUUUCUUCAUCAUGGUGGGGAUGGGUGGGAGGAGCAAUGAGCAUAUUGUUCCUGUACAUGAUGGUGCCAGCCUUGAAAUGCAUAAGGUCAACUCUAGCAAAAAUGAUAAUUCAAUGAUUCUACCUGAGCACUUAGACUUUUUCCAUUUUAAUAGGAAAAUUUUUUUUUUCUAUUUUGGUAGUUUCAGGUGGAAAACUAUAAUUGGAUAUAGUGUUUGUUUUUUUCUCCCUUAUUUGAUAGAAUGUGUGACAAGUGACUUUAGAGUGAGGGCUUUGGAGGAGGCAUUGCUGAUGGUACUUAGACUUUUCAUUUGCAGCUUUUGAAGUAAAGCUACAUGUUUUACUGGGUGGCUGGAGUUAUUGAAAUCAAAUUUAAAAAUUAAUUUAAAAAGGCAUCUCCUUCCUUAUGUAAAAAAAUCCUAUACAUAGACAUUUAAGUAUAUAAAUGGAGGCACUGUUUGUAUUUAUAUGUACUAUAUGUGAUUAUUAAAAAAAGAAAAUAGAAAUACAAGCACAUUAGCAAAAACUACAUAGAUAUUUCAAGAAUCAUCAAAUGGUUAAAAAAGCAAAACUCCUGAAGCAGCAAUCCAUCAGCCUAAUUAUGGACACAAAUGUCAGCAACAUCAACCAAUUGCCUUGCUCUUCUCUUUCUUAAAUAUUGCCAGAUGCAAAAAUAUUGUCUUUAUGUCACACAUAUAAGCCUAGACAGCAGGAAUCAGGGACUCAAAUGUGAAAUUGCCUAUCAAAAUUAGUAUGCAUGAUAUAAUAAACCUUGAAGUUUGUUUAUACUUAUAAGCAAAAUAUAAGGCCAUAUUGAUGUUUAUAUUAGAAAUCCAGAUAUCUGGUGGUCUAUAUUUUAUCACUGUGAAAACGAUAAAGGAAGUUUUGUUUUUUUUCUAUUGGAAAGUUGGCAAUCUUUCAAUUUUAAUAAAUGGUAGAUAUCAGAGAUGCAUGUAAGAUUGUCUGGGAGCCCCUCAAUAUACCAUGAAAUAUUAUUUUGUGUAAUAUUACACAGCAUUUCGAAACAGUCUUGAAGUAGGAAUAUGGCCUAAGUUAGAACUGCCCUUAUUAAUGCUGGAGUGACUUUGGCAUCCCCUGCUGCUGAGCUGGUUAAAACACAGAUAAAGCUGUUUUCUUUGAAUUGCCUGAUAUAAAUCUAAAUGGAGGUUAAAAAAAAAUCAUGGACAGCAUGAAGGACAGUUCAUUUUUCUUCUUUGACUGUAAGAGUUUUUUGUUUCUGUUGGCCAUGCUAAUGAUAAGACACUGGUCCAUUCUUCACAUAGAUUUGUAACAAACAAAUCUGGUCAUUUUACUUUGCCUCUUCAAAAUAACAACAAAGCAAAACUUUUUUACUCUUAUCACCUAUAAAAUAGGCCCAAAUAAUUUAUCAGGGGCCAUGAGACACUUUACAAUAUGGUCUUAACCUCUCUUUCCAGUCUCCGCUCUGUCAUUCCAUCUCAUGUUCGUGUCUUUCCAGCUAUGGUCAACUCUGAUGCUCUCUUGGCUUUCAUAUCCUGAUGCAUUUGCAUUUGUUUGUUCCCUCUGCUUUGAAGAUCGUUCCCAUCUAGUUUCUAUGGAAUAACUUGUUGAUCGUUUAAGACCAGCUCCAGCACUUCUGCAAAGUCCUCCUUGACUCCAGAGUUUAGCAAGCAUGUCUUUUUCUUUUCAUCCUAGUACUUUCCAGGUAUUGCUAGGACACCAUACUACCAUCAUAUCACUUUGUGUUGAUUAUACCUACCAGUCUCCCUACCCCAUACAGAAGAAAUCUUAGAUGGAAAUCAAGUUUUAUUAUUCUUUGAUUGCACCUCAGCACUUAGCUCAAUGACUGAUAACUCUAGGUAUUCAAAUAUUCAGUGUGUGGGUUAAUAGUAGACUCUAAGACCUAUACCUCAAUUUCAUGAAUUUCAUCUAUCUUUACACAAUUAUCUUCUCUUUCAAAACAUACCAAUAUCAAAUAAGUCAUUUAAAAUGGUUUACCCGCCUGUAAUCCCAGUACUUUGGGAGGCCAAGGUGGAUGGAUCAGGUGAGGUCACGAGUUUGAGACCAGCCUGGCCAACAUAGUGAAACCCUGUCUCUAUAAAAAUACAAAAAUUAGCUGGGCGUGAUGGUGCAUGCCUGUAAUCCCAGCUACUUGGGAGGCUGAGGCAGGAGAAUUGCUUAAAGCCAGGAGGUGGAGGUUGCAGUGAGCUGAGAUCACACCAUUGCAUUCCAGCCUGGGCGACAGGGCGAGACUCCGUCUCAAAAAAAUAAAAUAAAAUAAAAUAAAAUAAUUUACCUAGAAAAGAUAUUAGAGUAAGGCUUCAGUUAAAAACAGAAUGUUAACAAUUUCUAUUUGAUAUUAGUAGAAAAAAGAAGCAUCUUGCUAAAAUGUAUAAUAAACAGUUAUGUUAAACCUUCCUCUGAUAGUAACAAAUAAUGGUCUAUAAAAUAUUGGUCUAAAAUUGUUUUUCAAGUUGUAGACUAAUCCAAGCAGUGCUCCAGGCAAAAAUCAAAAGUAAUUAUUUCCUGUUUUGAGUUUUUAAAAAUGUUGUACUUUACCACCAUGUUCUUUUUGAUGAUAAAUAUGUAAAAGAGAACUCAUGGUAGCAUAGAAGUCCUGGAAUCACUUCCCAAGAUUAAUGUCACUAGAAAACAUCAGGCAAAGUAUUAAGCGGUAACACUAGACAAUUUGUUUUUCUUUGUAACUACUUGUCUAGAUCUUCAGAGCAAAAACACUAAUAAAAGUCAGUCAUCAUUAUGAUGUCAUUCUCAUAAUUUCCUUAGAAAUAAACUAGCAAGUACAAAAAAUAUUUAUAAUGUACGACAUCAUCUAUGUGCCUUUCCAUUGCUCAAACUUUGGAUUAGAGUUAGUGAGAUUUCCUGUUUGUUAUAAAGAACACACUCUGAAUGAAAUAAAAUACAUUAAUAAAAGCUCUCUGAAAUCAAA
Molecule: long non-coding RNA, 17124 nt
Organism: Homo sapiens (human)
Lineage: Eukaryota; Metazoa; Chordata; Mammalia; Primates; Hominidae
Exons: 2
Source: RefSeq, a predicted model, not a curated record